UUAAGUUAAGAAUUAGUUAAAUAUUUAAAAUAGAUAUUAAAAUAAAUUAAAUUGAUUUUAAAAUAAAAAACUAAUUUAAAUAAUAAAAUAGCAACAUAAAUAAUUUAAAAAUAAACAAAUAGAUUUUACUAAAAACAAAACUAAAGAAAUCGAUUUUUCAUCCGAUUUUUCCCUUCUUCUUCUUCUUCUUCUUCUUUUUCUUCUUCUUCUUCUUCUUCUUCUUCUUCUUCUUCUAUUAUAUAGAUCUAGGGUCGUCAAUUUCCAAGGGAGAUUUGGGGUUGUCAACUGGUGUGCUCGUUUCUUAAGGUCGAUUGAUGGUGAUGAACUGCUGGCUUGCUUUCAAAUAUGGCCCACUAUCCUCUUUGAUUGAGCUAUGAACUUGCAGAUCUGAAGCAUCGAUCAUGGGGCAUCGACGGAGGUGGGGAGAGAACUCAGAUUGAAUGGACUGACGACAAAGUUGUAGAACUAGAGCAUUGACCACAGAGAUAUACAAGGGUCUAACGACGGUGGGUAUGUGUUUUCAAGGGCUGACGACCAUGGAAGAGAAAUGAGGCUAUGUUUUUCAUGGAUUCUGGAAAGAAGUGGAAGGUGCCAACGAGAUAGAUUCGUGCGAUUUGGGACAAAUGAGAUAGAGAAAUCGAGGGACAAGGUAUUGGGUUGGGGUUGGAGUUGAGGGGCGUGAAAUCUGAAGUCGAAGAUCAAAGCGAGACCUAAGGUGAGCUAGUGAUGGGCUGAAGUUUGAGAUUUGGGGCUUGCUGGGGUGAGAUGAAUCUGGGCAGCUUUGCGUGGUGCUCUUCACCAUCGGAAUUCGCAGAUGUCAGUUGGUGGGGCGACGCACGAGAAGGACGGUCGAAGUUCAAGUGUUUUCUUGUUUACGAAUUGAUUUGGGGCUUGAAUGGCUCUUCAAUUUGUUGAGCUUAGGAUUCAUGGUUGAAUCUGGUUGCUGAUUGAAUAUAAGGAUGCCAAAUUUGAGAGACCUGCGAUUUUUUUAUUUUUGAUUUGUGAAUAUGAAGAUAUGAAAUCAAGAGGUUUUUUUGGAUAGAUUUUUUGUUUUCUAUUAUGAGUUCUAGGUUUUUGAAUUUGAUUUUGAUUUUUUAUUGUGAAUCUGUGUUUGAAUUUU
Humulus lupulus (European hop) is the source of this 1120-nucleotide long non-coding RNA. RefSeq lists it as uncharacterized. The record is from RefSeq and is a predicted model, not a curated record. The transcript has 2 exons. NCBI's taxonomy places the organism in Eukaryota, Viridiplantae, Streptophyta, Magnoliopsida, Rosales, Cannabaceae.